Molecule: ribosomal RNA, 486 nt
Filed under: uncultured bacterium
Lineage: Bacteria
Description: partial 16S ribosomal RNA
Rfam family: Bacterial small subunit ribosomal RNA
Source: RNAcentral
AUUGAACGCUGGCGGCAUGCCUUACACAUGCCAGUCGAACGGCAGCACGGGUGCUUGCCCCUGGUGGCGAGUGGCGAACGGGUGAGUAAUACAUCGGAACAUGUCCUGUAGUGGGGGAUAGCCCGGCGAAAGCCGGAUUAAUACCGCAUACGAUCUACGGAUGAAAGCGGGGGACCUUCGGGCCUCGCGCUAUAGGGUUGGCCGAUAGCUGAUUAGCUAGUUGGUGGGGUAAAGGCCUACCAAGGCGACGAUCAGUAGCUGGUCUGAGAGGACGACCAGCCACACUGGGACUGAGACACGGCCCAGACUCCUACGGGAGGCAGCAGUGGGGAAUUUUGGACAAUGGGCGAAAGCCUGAUCCAGCAAUGCCGCGUGUGUGAAGAAGGCCUUCGGGUUGUAAAGCACUUUUGUCCGGAAAGAAAUCCUUGGCUCUAAUACAGUCGGGGGAUGACGGUACCGGAAGAAUAAGCACCGGCCAACUACGUG